GAUGAACGCUGGCGGCGUGCCUAAUACAUGCAAGUCGAGCGAACAGACGAGGAGCUUGCUCCUCUGACGUUAGCGGCGGACGGGUGAGUAACACGUGGAUAACCUACCUAUAAGACUGGGAUAACUUCGGGAAACCGGAGCUAAUACCGGAUAAUAUAUUGAACCGCAUGGUUCAAUAGUGAAAGACGGUUUUGCUGUCACUUAUAGAUGGAUCCGCGCCGCAUUAGCUAGUUGGUAAGGUAGCGGCUUACCAAGGCAACGAUGCGUAGCCGACCUGAGAGGGUGAUCGGCCACACUGGAACUGAGACACGGUCCAGACUCCUACGGGAGGCAGCAGUAGGGAAUCUUCCGCAAUGGGCGAAAGCUUGACGGAGCAACGCCGCGUGAGUGAUGAAGGUCUUCGGAUCGUAAAACUCUGUUAUUAGGGAAGAACAAAUGUGUAAGUAACUAUGCACGUCUUGACGGUACCUAAUCAGAAAGCCACGGCUAACUACGUG
RNAcentral lists this ribosomal RNA (497 nucleotides) under uncultured bacterium. Its description in RNAcentral is "partial 16S ribosomal RNA". It matches the Rfam family "Bacterial small subunit ribosomal RNA", at positions 28 to 507 of the family's 1533-position model. The record is from RNAcentral.